This 484-nucleotide ribosomal RNA is filed under the name uncultured bacterium. RNAcentral's name for it is "partial 16S ribosomal RNA". It matches the Rfam family "Bacterial small subunit ribosomal RNA", at positions 30 to 507 of the family's 1533-position model. The record is from RNAcentral.
AUUGAACGCUGGCGGCAGGCCUAACACAUGCAAGUCGAGCGGAUGAAGGGAGCUUGCUCCUGGAUUCAGCGGCGGACGGGUGAGUAAUGCCUAGGAAUCUGCCUGGUAGUGGGGGAUAACGUCCGGAAACGGGCGCUAAUACCGCAUACGUCCUGAGGGAGAAAGUGGGGGAUCUUCGGACCUCACGCUAUCAGAUGAGCCUAGGUCGGAUUAGCUAGUUGGUGGGGUAAAGGCCUACCAAGGCGACGAUCCGUAACUGGUCUGAGAGGAUGAUCAGUCACACUGGAACUGAGACACGGUCCAGACUCCUACGGGAGGCAGCAGUGGGGAAUAUUCGACAAUGGGCGAAAGCCUGAUCCAGCCAUGCCGCGUGUGUGAAGAAGGUCUUCGGAUUGUAAAGCACUUUAAGUUGGGAGGAAGGGCAGUAAGUUAAUACCUUGCUGUUUUGACGUUACCAACAGAAUAAGCACCGGCUAACUUCGUG